AUUUUUUAAAAUGUUUUAAACUUAUUUUUCCUCUUCUUUUUUCAGUCUGAGUAAUUUCUGUGGACCUCCACUGAAGUACAAUAAUUCUUCCCUCAGCUGUACCAAGUGUACUGAAAAGCCCAUUAAAAACAUUCUUCAUUUCCUUUACUGCAUUUUCUGACUACAUUUGAUUCUUUCUUAUGGCUGCCAAAAUUACCUAUGCAUACUAUCCACCUUUUACGUUAGUUUUUAAAAUAAUACCAAUAGUUAUAAAACUUGUCUGAUAGUUCUAUUAUCUGGGUCAUAUCUUUGGUCUGUUGAAUUAUUUUUCUUGGCUGCAUGCCCAUUAUAUUGUGCCAUUUUGUGUGCCUCAUAAAUUUUGUUUAAAGCUGGACAUCUUGUAUAGGACAUUAGAGACCGAGUAAACAGUUUUUUAUGUUUUUAAAUGAGAAUGACUGGGGUUUGAAUUAAUCUCUUCAAGAGUUGAGCUAGGUUUGGAAUUUGUUGUUACCAAGGCUACUGUCUCAUCACAGGAUUCCAGUUCUUCUAGUAUUAUUUUGUGUUUAGUGUGGAGGCUAUUUGCAUCAAAGGGUUUUUUCUCAAUAGCUUCUCUACCCUCAACUUUAGUCUCCCCUUUGCUCUUUGCAUAGUCUUUACUCAUCCAACAGUGUCCUACUGUUAAGUGGUAUUUGAAGCUUGUUAACCUGGUUGGUGGCAGACCUAGCAUGGUUGAUAUCCUUUGUUCUGAGAAGCCCUCAGUUUUAACUAGCUUCUGGGGCCCUGGGUUUUGAGGUCGUUGUCUUGUCAGCACUUCAAUUUCUUCCUUCACUGUAGAUCUGAGACUAUGAGGUAUUCUUGCCUUUUCUCCAGGGAAAGGGUAUUUUUCUGCUGUCUUUCCCCUGCUUCAGUUUUCAUCUGAGACCCUAAGAGUCAUGGUUCGUCCUUCCUCUAGCAGUUUGAAGCUUUUCUUCUAUAAAGAAAAAGGAAUGAAAAAUCCAGGUGGUGUUCCCUGCCUUUCCCAGAGUGGCUGCUGUACCUUACACUAAGCCUGUGGUAGUAGAGGUGCUUUCUGAGGACUCUAGCCUAUCUUUAUUUUUCUUAAUGAGCAUCCAUGGAGGUCCAUGGAGAAAAGCCUACAAGUACAUGAAAAUUCCCUUUUUAUCGGCAGUCUCUGGAGAUACCAUAUUCUCUUCCUGGCCUAUAUUACCUUUAUUAAUUAAAGAGUUUAGUGAAAUUCUUUAUUUUUAUUGACAUAUAUUCGACAUAUAACAUUGUAUAAAUCUAAGGUGUACAACAUUCAUUUGAUACAUUUAUAUUUGUAAUUUGAUUGCCAUUGUAUUCCCGCUGUGGUGCAAUGGGUUAAGAAUCCUUCUGCAGAUGCUCAGGUCACUGCAGAGGCACAGGUUCAGUCUUGUUGCAGUGAUUAAAGGAUCUGGCAGUUGCUGCAGCUGUGGCAUAGGUCAUAGCUGCUACUCAGAUUCAAUUCCUGGCCCGGGAACUCCCAUAUGCCACAGGUACAGACAUUAAAAAAAAAAAAAAAAAAACUCUCCUAUCUCCCCCUUCCUCCCCCCCACCAGUAAUCACCAUUUUACUCUCAGUUUUUAUGAAUUAGCUUUUUAAGAUUCCACAUGUGUUACCACACAUUACUGCUGACUGAUGGCUUCUGCCUCAGGCAAACAAGUGCUUGUAUCCUGUCUUAAGAGUUAGUUGCCCUGUCACCUGAGCUCUCUGAUAUGUUCAAGCAAAAGUGUGGAUUUCCAGAUUGUCCAGCUUUUUGUUACUGUUGUGUUAAAGAUGAGAGUAAUUCUCCUUCCAGAUUUCUAUAUCCCAAGCAGAAAACAGAAGUCUCUUGUUUACUUAUUAACCAAUAUGUUGUAUCAUAUUUCUUUAUAAAGGCAGGACCAUGUCCCUUAAAAUGCAGCAGGAUUAAAAGCCAUGAAUAAAGUAUAAGCAAAUUCUAAUAAUGAAAUGUCAGGUUAAAUAGUAAUUAAAUUUUCUGUACUCUAGACAAGGUUUCAAAUACCUGAAAGAAUUGGUUAAAAUAAUCACAGAAAAGUUACCUAUUAUUUAUUAGAACUCAAGGAAUAUUAUUAAGAUGUUAGAAGAUUAGAAAUGGGCAAUUAUGCUGCAUUUUUAAAAAAACAUAUUCGGAGUUCCUGUUGUGGUGCAGUGGAAAGGAAUCUGACUAGGAACCAUGAGGUUGCAGAUUCAAUUCCUGGCCUCGCUCAGUGAGUUCAGGAUCCGGCGUUGCCAUGAGCUGUCGUGUAGGUCGCAGACAUGGCUCGUACCUGGUGUUGCUGUGGCGUAGGC
RNAcentral lists this long non-coding RNA (2289 nucleotides) under Sus scrofa (pig). RNAcentral's name for it is "lncRNA (ENSSSCG00040015608.1)". Lineage: Eukaryota; Metazoa; Chordata; Mammalia; Artiodactyla; Suidae. The record is from RNAcentral.